Molecule: ribosomal RNA, 489 nt
Filed under: uncultured bacterium
Lineage: Bacteria
Description: partial 16S ribosomal RNA
Rfam family: Bacterial small subunit ribosomal RNA
Source: RNAcentral
GACGAACGCUGGCGGCGUGCUUAACACAUGCAAGUCGAACGGACUGAAAGAAAAGCUUGCUUUUCUGGACGUUAGUGGCGGACGGGUGAGUAACGCGUGGGUAACCUGCCUUUAAGAGGGGGAUAACACUCCGAAAGGAGUGCUAAUACCGCAUAACAUCAGAUUAUUGCAUGAUAGACUGAUCAAAGGAGAAAUCCGCUUAAAGAUGGACCCGCGUCUGAUUAGCUAGUUGGUGAGGUAACGGCUCACCAAGGCGACGAUCAGUAGCCGGCCUGAGAGGGUGAUCGGCCACACUGGGACUGAGACACGGCCCAGACUCCUACGGGUGGCAGCAGUAGGGAAUUUUUCGCAAUGGACGGAAGUCUGACGGAGCAAUGCCGCGUGAGUGAUGAAGGUUUUCGGAUCGUAAAGCUCUGUUGUAAGGGAAGAAUAGCUAGAUGAGGAAAUGAAUUUAGUCUGACGGUACCUUACGAGGAAGGGACGGCUAAC